CAUUUGCUGGCUUUUACUUUUUGUCUGUGAAUUCUGGGUCCCCACUCUUUGUCCAUUUGGUCCACUGGCUUGCUAGUUUUCUUUCCAUUGAUUUCUGAGCACUCUCUGUAAGGCAGGGACCUCAGUGAUUUUGGAUUUCUCUGGCAGAGGCCUUCAUGCUGGCCUGGAGCUCAAAGACCCUUGGCAGGGACAUGGGCUGAGAGGAGGCUGUUUUAAAUCAAUCUCAAGUUGAGAAAGGCUCUGAAUAGCGUCCUAUCAGAGGAAUAAGAAAUACAUUCUAGGGCUCUGGUGAUACACUUGAGAUAAAGAGGGAUGAAGGAAAGAAAGGACAAAGAUGAACCAAAGUUUCUAACAGGAAACAGAAAGACUGGGGAAGCCCUGAGAGGCUGGAGAGAAGAGCCGGUUUGGAAGGAAACACGCUAAUUCGGUGUGGUGGUUACUGAGUUUGAAAUACUGGUGCAUUCCACUCAGGAAGAUGAUUUACAGGCAAUGUGAGAUAUAGGACCAGCGAGGAAUCAGGCUGAGGCUUCUGGGAAGCAUCUCUACUGAAGUGGCAGCUGAAGCCCCAGGGGAGAUGAGCUCACCGCGCAAGGGGGAAGGAGAAGCAGAGCCCAGGACGAGGACUUGAGGAACACCCACGAGGAGAAGAAGAGACCAGCAGGGGCGACAAGUAAACCAGGAGAGGAGUGGGGCUCCAGAGCGAGGGUUAGACACUCCGGCCAGUGGCCGCACCUGGCGCCUCGCCUGUCUUCUUAAAUAAAGUUUUAUCAGAACACGGCCACUUGUUGACACACUGUCUGAGGCUGUUUUCACACCACAACAGCAAGGCCUGAGUAACUGUGACAGGGACCGUGUCACAAAACCUAGACUCUUGCUACCCAGGCCUUUUACAGGAGCAGUUCUCCAACCCCGGUUCUAGAAGGAAAAACAUUGGUUAACACGGUCAAAUGCUGCACAGAGUCAGAGGGUGACUGCAAGUGGGAAGCCACCACCGAUUUAGAGAGUAGGUAGCAGGUUACUUUGUAAACUUUGUGUAUCACGUUGGGAUUAGAAAAGGGGCUUUAAAGGCAUAUCUGGAAGAGCUGACUCAUACACCUCAGGAAAAGCAGAGCGGGAGGUGGGUCAGCAGCUAACAAGCACAUCAGGAAGCACAGAGAAGUGCUGUCUAUCCACCUGUGUGUCCUCACAGCCCUUGAGUGAAGAGGGUUGAGCAUCAUCGUGACCUCGGGGAUUAGAGCUGGAAGUCAGUGUCCUCAAGAAAGUGGCGGAAGGGGGACUGUGUGGAGCAGUGUGCUGGUAAAUGUUUAAUAACACGCUCUCAAAAAUAUCUGUAGCAGCGUGCCCUGAUUUCCAUGGUGCACACACUCCAGCUGGCAGAAUUCCUGACAAUGUAACAAUUGGCUCCUUCAAGCCAGUUCAGUUGGUGCCAGCACACCAACUGGGGGAUGCUGUCACCAACGCUGAAGCUGGAGGAUGGAGCACAGGAAGGCGUGAGUGCGGGGUUGAAUUCUUCAGGAAUACGUCUUGGGAAGCAAGAGAUGAUAUCGCGACAGUUAAAAGGAAGAGGCAUGAACUUCAGUGUUGAUAAGUGGAAGCAAGGUCGGAACCCACUGCCUCCCUGUAUCCCAAGCUUAUCUUCCGGAGCAUUCUUCCUGGAAAAUGGCACUUACGCUUUAUGCCACCACGACUGAAGGCCUGUCUUCCUUUCUGAGGGAGCAGGCGAGCCUUCUUGGGUGGGAUGGAAAAUACGUUUCUAUUCUUAGCAUUAUUAAUUCUAAUCCAGGAGGGCACAAAGAGAAGGCCACUUCCCUCUGUGCCCUCAGGACGUGUAUGCAGGGGAGACGAGAAUUAAAUAAUGAACAGGUCCCAAACAAAGCCAUUCGAUGCUGGGCACGGCGACGUCUUUCUGUUUCUCAAUGCUACUAAAACCCCACAAUGAGCUCUUCUGGUAACACAGACCAGAUUUCUAGAUGUCCUACUGGCAGCCGACCUUUUCUCGUGAACUCCAGUCAGUGGCCAAGGGAGAGGAGCAUCAGUGCUUUAAAAUCUCUUUUCUAUGCCUGAAGCAAACAUUUUACAACAUUUCUCCUUGAUACGAAAUCUCUGCUUGGACAUCUGGCUUCACAGUGAGGAACUUUCAAUACACUAGCUUCAAAGAAAGGGCUUGGCCCUGCUGGUGCAGUGAUGCCAGAAGAAUGUUCCACCGUCUUUCUACAGAACUAUUUCUAACAAUUCCCCCCAAUGAACUUCUGAGAGUCCAGUGGAGAGAGUUAACUAACAGACAGCUCGGCUUUGGUGUGCGCCUGACGGGCCCUUGCUGAGCUCAGAAAUGAGGGAUAAACAAGGUGGAGGACGUUUUCUUAGAAUCUGCCCACGAAGUCCCUGUUACCAGCAGAUCGGCGUUAGCUUCGCAGUCUGCUGCGCCAUCGCAAAGCCUUCACAGGCAUGCUGCCGUCAAGAAACUAACAGGAGAGGGAAGGGACAUGAUUGGUUUCCAGAGCCUUCAUGUAUGAGAUAACAGCAUUCAUUUAUUCAGCAUAUUUCUAGAACUUCCAGUGACCCAAACUCCGAGGGCAGCGCUUGCUCUCAGGAAGCUUAGAGUCUGCUGGAAGGACAUUCAUCCAAACAGAGGCUCAGCAUCUCCUCUUUGCAACGGGAAAACCCUCUCUUAAAAUCACAGAUUAUUUCGGGAAGGGUGUGGUUAUCUUGUGAGGCCACAGUCCUGACUGACGUCGUGAGGGUGUUUGCAGUUUCUCUUUGUCCCCUUCGGGGGAUAUCCGCGUGUCUCACUAUGCACUGUGUCUGGCGCAGCGUGUUGUCCCAGAACCACCUGGAGAUGAAGUACAAGCUCUAUGUCACCUCCCUAGAGCCUGAAGCGCCUGAGCAGCAAAACACACUCAAGCUCAAGGUUUUGGAUAAAGGAAAAACUUGGGGACCGGCAUUACAGUGUGGCGAAAACUUCACUGGAUAAAGGAACAAAGCUGGCACGAGCUUCUCUCUGACACUCCACAAUCUUAAAGGGAAAGGACUCUAUGUAGGGAGCCUGUGCCGUCACCAGAGAGCGUGAUGGUUGAGGGCGAGCUGUUGAUACGGUGGUGAGAAGGGCAACAUCUAGACAAGUGGUUCUCAAAGGUUUUGGUCUAUUCUUUAACAAUAAAGAAUCCCAAAAAGGUCUUAUUUAUGUAGGUUCCAUCAGUAUUCACCAUAUUAGAAAUUAAAAUAAAGAAAUAUUAAAAUACUUAUUAACUCAUUAAAAAUAACAGAAACCCAUUAUGUGUGACAUAAAUAUGCUUUUUAAAUAAAAAAUAAACUUCUUUUCAAAGCAAAAAAAAGAAAAAUAGCGAGAAGUAUUUCAUAGUUUUGCAAAACUUUUUACUGCCUGGCUUAACAGAAGGCAGCUAGAUUCUCAUACCUGCUUCUGCAUUCCAUGUCUUGCAAUGUGUUGCUUUGGUUGAAGUAUAAGAAAACAAUCCAGUGUCACACAGAUAAGCAGCUGGAGAGGGAGGGGUCUUUUAGAAACCUUUUCAGGUGACUGUGGAUAUUCCUAGUGACUACAGCAAAAAUUAGCAAGUAGCAGUUUCUUUAAAAAGUUGCAAUGCAGAAUCGGAAACUCUACACCUUCAUAUGCUAUUUUAAUGUUACAUUAAAAUUCGUUAGUCAUAGUUCCCGUUGUGGCUCAGUGGUUAACGAAUCCAACAAGGAACCAUGAAGUUUCGGGUUCGAUCCCUGGCCCUGCUUAGUGGGUUAAGGAUCUGGUGCUGCCAUGAGCUGUGGUGUAGGUCACAGACGUGUUUCGGAUCCUGUGUUGCUGUGGCUGUGGUGUAGGCUGGCAGCUGUAGCUCUGAUUAGACCCCUAGCCUGGGAACCUCCACAUGCCGAGGGUGUGGGCCUAGAAAAGAAAAAAAAAAAAGAAAAAUUGUUUAGUUUGUUUUGUAUUUUGAAUGGAUCUUUCACCUAUGCCUGAUUUUGCAACAUCCAGGUGUUGGUCGUUUGGAAAACACUGGUUCGGUGAGUUACAAAAAUCUUCCAAAUGUUGAUACGCUUCAUUAAUUCUUCCCUGUUUCUUCCCAUGCACAUCAUUAGGAAUAUCACCGAUCAGAAAAGUCUUUAAGUGCUAGCAAGCUGUCAAGCUUACAGCGAGGGUAUGAAUUUUCCAAAUUCCUGAUUUUUGCUUGAAAGCUCAAGUUUUAUUGUUAGCAACAACUCAGUCGGUUGUUGUCCUUGAAGUGUCAGGCUUACUUCCUUCACUUUCAAGAGAAUCUCUGCCAGACAGUCAAACCGGAAGACACGUAGUUAGCCUGUCAAUCCUUCUUUCCAAGUGACUGGAGCUCAGCUCACACUCAAGCAAAUGCAGAAUGGCUUUUCCUUGACACAACCACACUGCUUCAUUGUGCAGCACCAGUGCUUUAAGUGUACUUCUGAUGGAUAGUAAAAAGAUGUAUGUACUCCCAAGGAUUGAGAUUUAAUAAAAUUAAUACUAUUUAUUGUUCCAGUUUUCUUUUUCUUUUUUGGCCACACCCGUGGUAUAUGGAAGUUCCAGGGGCCAGGGAUCGAAUCUGAGCUGCAGCUCUGACCUACAGCACAGCUGUGGCAAUGCAGGAUCCUCAAUCCACUGUGCCACAGCGGGAACUCCAUUUCACUUUUAUUUUAAAGCACAAACAUGUGGUAAUGAAGAAAGUAAUGACUGCCCAUAGCAGUUCAGGGUCAAUGAUAUGUUUCCUGCUAAAAUACCACCAUUUGUAUCCUCUGUGGAUUUUCAUGAUAUCAGUGCAAGUGUGAACACAGUGAAAAAGUCAACUAAUGUCUUAUUAUGAAAAUAGUUUUGUCCUAGCGGAGUCCCUGAAAAGGUCUCAGGGAGCUAAGGGGGUCUGAGGAUACCACCUUGAGAACCACUGGUUUAGACUGUGUUGUGUUUCAUACGCUGCGCUGACAAGUAGAGACUUCAUUCUAUAGGCAAUGAAAAGCCACUGCUGAAUUUUAAGAAGCAAACCACAUCUCGUACGUGUGUUUCAGAAAGGUCACUUUAUCGACAGUUCGAGGGAUAUAUCUGAGAGGGUCAAGCUAUUGGCAGUGAUUCUACAAAAAAGGGCCUGUAACAGGCAAGGUCAAAAAUAUGAAGCUCUGACAAAGAAGGUAAGAACUAGUGGUUGGGGGAUGAGGUACACACAUGGAAGUAUUUAGACAUUACUUCUAGGGACUGACCUCGGGGAGAUAAAGGAGGGAAAGAAUUCAUUCCAGGAGACUUCCAGAAUCUGACUUGAGUGAUGGAGUGGAUGACGGUGGCACGUUAACUCUCAUAAUCAAUACAAGAAGAACGGGUUUAGCGGUCAGAGAAGAGCGGGAGCUCCCUACAGCCAGUUUACCAUCUCUCUAGUCUGAGCAGCCUGAGAGCCAUCCAAGUGAAAAUGUGCAACAGCAGUGAGAGACGUGAUUGAGAGCUCAGAAAACUUCGGGGUGGAGGUGAGGAUUCCAAAUUCAUUUGAAUGGAAGCUUCCGUGAGGGGCUGGGAUUGUCCAGGGACAGUGCAAACAAAGAAAACAGAAGAGGCUGGAGAACAGGGGAGGUUCCGGGAGACAGGCGGGCUGGGGGAGGGUUUGGGAGCUCCCGGCCCCUGCCGCCCAACACCUCGACUACGCGUCAUUUACAUCUGGUUGUACUGCUUAGAAUAAACCAGUGGUCUAGUUUUUAAAAAGAAGAAAGAAAAGAAAACAGAAGGGGUUUUGCUUACUACCAAGAUUUGAGUGUUAAAAAGAGGAAGGGGAAUCAGGGAACGGGAAAGAGGUUUUCAGAACAUGGCAGAUGAACUGGGAAAGCGCUACCAUGCAACUAACUGGAAUUUUUAGGGACUGUUUAGAUGGCAGAUUAAGUCACUGUUCAUUGCUGUUCAUGGGUAUAUAAUUUCCCUGCCUCAUGGAUGUGGACGGAAAUGAAGCUGAGGCUGCAGGGAUUUUUUUUCCUGUUCACCUUUUUGCCCUCCUGUAAUUCACCAUAAGGAUGAUACCCCAGGCAACCACUAGUCCAAAGAGAUUUUGCAGACGAGGAGAACAGGCCUGAACCCAAGGUAAAGCCUGGAGCUAAACCCAGCUACAGCCUAAAUCCAAACCACACUAAUGACCCACAGAUAUAUUUCGAGAAAAAAAAAUUGUUAUUACAAGUUCACUAAGUUUGGGGGAGCUGUUUGUUAUACAGCAUUGUACAAACACCUGACUAACACAGUUCUCUGUUAAAUGUUAUAAAGGAGCCAAAGAGGCUUCUAAGAACAGAUAGUAGAUUGAAUUUCCCUCUCCCAACCCAACAGAAAAGCACUAAGGCACUGAAAUAGGGUAUAAUACGAAAAACCCUUACAGGCUUGUUGUCAAGGAAGAUACCUGGAGCGUUUCAGCGACUCAACUUUAAAAUCCGUCUAUGACCCUGAAAUCAUUAAUCUGUUUCGAGCUAACAAAAUCCAGAGAAUUCCCCUUACUAUUACCAAAUUUGAAGAGACGAAAACUGUGUGACUAACCUCAGCCUUUUCUUCUUCUGACUGUAUGAUGGAUGUGUUGGAAAAACAGCUAAAAAUCAAGGCUGUCUGUGGGAAGUGAAAGCAUUAGGACUUCAGGAAUACACACCAAACUGGGAUAACCCAAACCCCAAAGGAUUAUAAGAUGCUUCUCCCUUUCAGGCAGUGUGAACUCAGAAACAGGAAGAACAGUCAGCCCAACCAGACUGCACAUCCCCCUUACUCUAGCUCCUCCCUCCCCUUCUUCAGGUUCUAGAAAAUGCAGAGAUAGGACAAAUCGGUGUUAUUGACAGAGGGAGAUGCACUGUGUUUCAGGAACAUCUGCUCUUCGAUGUUUGACCUUCGGAGGGAUCCUGGUUAAUUACAGAAUUUAUUCUGGUGGCUCUAUCAAACUGACACGAUAAAGAAAAAGACUUCUUGAGGAAUCCUUCAGAAAAGCAAAUCCUUGACCUGGAGGAAGACUCAAAUCUUGCCCAGCCUUUUCCACAGCAGUAUUCAAUGAGUAAUGUUUCAGUUCUCAGAGGAAAAAGUGUGAACAAGAAUACAGUGCCCAUGUCACUCAAAACGCAAAGGUUAACUGGCAGACACUCUUAAACAUGGAAAAAUUCAGGGAAGAUAGUACCAUGAGUCUAUGGUAUGAUCCAGCCAAUUGAGAACCGCAUCAGAGCGAAAACGUCGGGAAUGGAGGGUAGAAGACUGUGGUAAUGAAAGGCCUGGUGGUAAGCACCACAUCGGUUAAGGAUAGCAUGAGCAUUAAACUAAAGCUCAGGGUCAGAGACGCACUGGGUACUCCACAAAUCUGGACAGUGGAAAGAAAGAACACAACCCUAGGCAGCAGGAGGCAAGGAGGAGGGAUGGCAGGAAGUGUGAGUGAACCAAUGCACUCACGUUUCAGCCCCGAAUCAAACUCUGUUCCAAAGUUUAAUAAAUUGAUUCUUCCUGUUUUACGCUAAUUUCUUUCCUCUGCUGAACUUCAGGAAAAUUAACUUGAGAUUUUUCUAAAACUAACAAAAAGACAGAGUCUAGUGUAUCAACCCAUC
Non-coding RNA from Sus scrofa (pig), 7539 nucleotides. Lineage: Eukaryota; Metazoa; Chordata; Mammalia; Artiodactyla; Suidae. The record is from RefSeq and is a predicted model, not a curated record.